GCUCCAGACUCCUACGGGAGGCAGCAGUGAGGAAUAUUGGUCAAUGGACGAGAGUCUGAACCAGCCAAGUAGCGUGAAGGAUGACUGCCCUAUGGGUUGUAAACUUCUUUUAUAUGGGAAUAAAAUGUUCCACGUGUGGGAUUUUGUAUGUACCAUAUGAAUAAGGAUCGGCUAACUCCGUGCCAGCAGCCGCGGUAAUACGGAGGAUCCGAGCGUUAUCCGGAUUUAUUGGGUUUAAAGGGUGCGCAGGCGGUCUGUUAAGUCAGCGGUCAAAGCCCGGGGCUCAACCCCGGUCCGCCGUUGAAACUGGCAGUCUCGAGUUGGAGAGAAGUAUGCGGAAUGCGCGGUGUAGCGGUGAAAUGCAUAGAUAUCGCGCAGAACUCCGAUUGCGAAGGCAGCAUGCCGGCUCCACACUGACGCUGAGGCACGAAAGCGUGGGUAUCGAACAGGAUUAGAUACCCCGGUAGAC
Molecule: ribosomal RNA, 469 nt
Filed under: uncultured bacterium
Lineage: Bacteria
Description: bacterial SSU rRNA
Rfam family: Bacterial small subunit ribosomal RNA
Source: RNAcentral